UACAGAGGUCCCAAGCGUUGUUCGGAUUUACUGGGCGUAAAGGGUGCGUAGGUGGCAGGCUAAGUUUGGUGUGAAAUCUUCGAGCCCAACUCGAAAACGGCACUGAAAACUGGCCUGCUCGAGGAUUGAAGAGGAGAUUGGAAUUCUCGGUGUAGCAGUGAAAUGCGUAGAUAUCGAGAGGAACACCAGUUGCGAAGGCGAAUCUCUGGGCAACUCCUGACACUGAGGCACGAAAGCUAGGGGAGCAAACAGG
RNAcentral lists this ribosomal RNA (253 nucleotides) under uncultured bacterium. RNAcentral describes it as "partial 16S ribosomal RNA". It matches the Rfam family "Bacterial small subunit ribosomal RNA", at positions 524 to 776 of the family's 1533-position model. The record is from RNAcentral.